AGGUAAGCUACUAAGAGCGAAUGGUGGAUGCCUUGACUGGUAAAGGCGAUGAAGGACGUACUAGACUGCGAUAAGCUACGGGGAGCUGUCAAGAAGCUUUGAUCCGUAGAUUUCCGAAUGGGGCAACCCAAUGUAUAGAGAUAUACAUUACCUAUAUAGGAGCGAACGAGGGGAAUUGAAACAUCUUAGUACCCUCAGGAAAAGAAAUCAAUAGAGAUUGCGUCAGUAGCGGCGAGCGAAAGCGCAAGAGGGCAAACCCAGUGCUUGCACUGGGGGUUGUAGGACUGCAAUGUGCAAGAGGUAAGUUUAGCAGAACAUUCUGGAAAGUAUAACCAUAGAGGGUGAUAGUCCCGUAUGCGAAAAACAAACCUUAGCUAGCAGUAUCCUGAGUAGGGCGGGACACGAGGAAUCCUGUCUGAAUCCGGGUCGACCACGAUCCAACCCUAAAUACUAAUACCAGAUCGAUAGUGCACAAGUACCGUGAGGGAAAGGUGAAAAGAACUGAGGUGAUCAGAGUGAAAUAGAACCUGAAACCAUUUGCUUACAAUCAUUCAGAGCCCUAUGUAGCAAUACAGGGUGAUGGACUGCCUUUUGCAUAAUGAGCCUGCGAGUUGUGGUGUCUGGCAAGGUUAAGCAAACGCGAAGCCGUAGCGAAAGCGAGUCUGAAUAGGGCGCUUAGUCAGAUGCUGCAGACCCGAAACGAAGUGAUCUAUCCAUGAGCAAGUUGAAGCUAGUGUAAGAACUAGUGGAGGACUGAACCCAUAGGCGUUGAAAAGCCCCGGGAUGACUUGUGGAUAGGGGUGAAAGGCCAAUCAAACUUCGUGAUAGCUGGUUCUCUCCGAAAUAUAUUUAGGUAUAGCGUUGUGUCGUAAUAUAAGGGGGUAGAGCACUGAAUGGGCUAGGGCAUACACCAAUGUACCAAACCCUAUCAAACUCCGAAUACCUUAUAUGUAAUCACAGCAGUCAGGCGGCGAGUGAUAAAAUCCGUCGUCAAGAGGGAAACAACCCAGACUACCAGCUAAGGUCCCUAAGUCUUACUUAAGUGGAAAACGAUGUGAAGUUACUUAAACAACCAGGAGGUUGGCUUAGAAGCAGCCAUCCUUUAAAGAAAGCGUAAUAGCUCACUGGUCUAGUGAUUUUGCGCGGAAAAUAUAACGGGGCUAAAGUAAGUACCGAAGCUGUAGACUU
Molecule: ribosomal RNA, 1188 nt
Filed under: Campylobacter jejuni
Lineage: Bacteria; Pseudomonadati; Campylobacterota; Epsilonproteobacteria; Campylobacterales; Campylobacteraceae
Description: partial 23S ribosomal RNA
Rfam family: Bacterial large subunit ribosomal RNA
Source: RNAcentral